Long non-coding RNA from Hemicordylus capensis (graceful crag lizard), 3932 nucleotides. RefSeq lists it as uncharacterized. The transcript has 8 exons. NCBI's taxonomy places the organism in Eukaryota, Metazoa, Chordata, Lepidosauria, Squamata, Cordylidae. The record is from RefSeq and is a predicted model, not a curated record.
CUUGCACUCAUAAAGUCUGAAGAGGGCUAAUGAUCAUAGAGGACAGACACCCUGCUGACUGAGUCAUCAUCUUAAUUUACUAGGCCUUGAUCAGCACAAAAUGGAUACAAACAACUGCGCUCUUUGCAAAUAGGCUUCCAGUGUGAAGUCACUUUCAGCUACAUUGGUUUCAUUGCCAUCUGUCUUCAUCCACUGGUGCUUCAGGAAUUAAUACAAAGAUGGAGAUUUUUCCCCCCUGAAGAUAAGUCAUUGAAUGCAGGCGGAGAAGCAGCUCUUCAAUUCUAUGAUCUCACACCAUCAUAGGAUGGGAAAUAAGCAAAGGCUGACCACCUUCUCCCAGACCAGCUGACCAGCUCUGAGAGAAGAAAGUGGGAGCUGGGAUGACAUUGUGGCUAGAAGGCAGAACUACGCAUGAAGUAGGAAACGCAUAGUUCUCAAUCCUGUGUUUCCCUCAUAAUGCCAAUAUCUGAGAUCUGUGUGAGAACUUCUUUCAACUACCCUAAUCUUCUGCUAUCUUCUAGAAGAUCUGAAGUUGCACUUUAUUUGUAAUUACUUCAGCCCCAUGGGAUAGGCAAAAAAGAAUGACAAAAUUCAGAAAAGGAGGAAGAGAGCAAUUGAGUAUAGGAGAGCAAUCAUUGACAAGGAUUAACAUAGAUCUCUUGCAACAGGAAAGGGGAGAUCAGCCUCUGGCCUCUUCCACAGACAUUAUCUGAUGGGAUAAAACUACAGAAACUAAAGACCAGGCUGCCAUAAAGGUAACUCCUUUCAAGAUGAGACUUGGAACUACCGAAUGUGGACAGAGAUACACCUCUUUAUUCUGAAAAUUUUUAUGAUAGGCCUGUGGAAACAAUGAUCUGCCCUACAUCUGAUGAGCCUAGGAGCAUUGAAGUCCCAGUCUCCACAAGCUUUGAAGAGGAUGCUCUGAGUUAAAAUAACAGACCGAAUCUCAGAAGAUAAAAUCAAGAUUCAGUCUGAUCUGAACAUAGGCUUGAAUAUUGGACCAAAACAAACAAGAUGAAGUUCAACGGAGAGAGAUGGAAAAUCAAAUGCACAAACAUAAGAAGUCACAUGGCUUGUCAGCAGUACCUGUGAAAAGAAACGAGGUAUCUUAGCAGAUGACAAGUUGACCAUGAUUAGCAGCGUGAUGCAGCUGCUAAAAAGCAAAUGCACCCUUAAGCUGCACUGCAUCAACAGAAGUAUAGCAUCUAGAGCAUGAGAAGUCAUUGUUCCACUUUAUUCUGGUUAAUUUCACUUACUGUUGUGGGCCCUGCAGAAUAGUAUUGGUCAACCUCACUUGGAUUACUAUUCUGGGCCUCACAUUUUAAGAAGGAUGUUGAUAAAUUGGAAUGGUUUGGUUUCAGGGCAGGGCAACAAAGACAGUGAGGAGUCUGGAAACCAAGUCCUAUGAGGAACACUGAAAGCAGCUCUGUAUGUUUAGCUUUGAGGAAAGAAGACUUAGGGGAAAUAUGACCUUCAAUAUGUGACGGGCUGUCACAUAAAGGAAGCCGUGGACUUGCUCCCUUGUGCUCCUGUGGGCAGGACUAGAACCAGUAGUUGAAACUACAUGGAAGCAGAUUUCGGCUGCUGCUACUACGAAUUUACUAUGGAUUUUUAUAUACCGCUCUCCAACCAAAGUUCUCAAAGCGGUUUACAUAGGCUAGACAAUAGGAAGAAUUUCCAAACUACACGCGCUGUUUGUUUGACAGCAGAAGAGUCUGCCAUGUGUAAUUGUAGGCUCUCCUUCACUAGAGGUUUUCCAACAGAGGCUGUAUCACCAUCUGUCAAAGAUGCUGUAGGAGGACCCGUAGAGACUACAAGGUCCCUUCCAGCUCUAGAUCGCUGUGAUCCUUUGAUUAUGAUUACCAGCCCUCCUUGCAUCUGGCACUCUGUGCUGGCUCACAUCAGGGAGGGAAGAAAGGAAAAGAAACAUGCUCCAUUCUCUUGCCAUGGGGAAGCCCAUGAGUCAGGGGAAAGAACUUUGGAAAAGACGGAGGAAGUUUCUUGAAGCCAACUGUGUCUGUGUUGGAUGUCCUUGGCAAUUUUCAACUUCAUAUAUGUUCCGUUUGAUAGCACUCUGGUCACUGUUCAUGUUGUCAGCACAAGAUGUGUUGACAACACAUCUCAUACCAGGCUCUGGGUGCCAUUUAGUAUUAAGGCCAGGUCAUUUCCCAUCUGGAGGUCUUUCACACAAUCAAAAACCGUUCUACCCAGUUUUGGGGGCUGUGUGCUCUCCCAAUUUUUGAUUGUCUGGAAACAAGGUAGGAAGAAAACAGGGUAGCUUUUCCUCCUACCUUGUUUCCACACAAUCACUUCUGCCCAGGUUUUCCUCUUAACUUGCUUCCACACAACCAAAAAUUGGAAGCACACACAGCUCCCAAACCUGGGUAGACCACAGUUUUUGAUUGUGUGAAUGACCUCAUAGUUAGUUUCAUGACCAACUGUUCUAAGGCAGUCAUUUAGGAUAUCAAGAAAUCUGGUCUCUUUGUCAUAACCUGAACAUGAAUUUAUCCAGUAUAUGUGAGGGUAAUUGAAGUCACAACACCUUUCCCUUGGGUGCUGCCCUGACUUUUAUUUCCAACAUAAAAUCACCCUCAGCACUUUGUUGAGGAGCACAAUGGCCCCUCAUAAUAAAAUACUUUUUGUCUGUUUCUACCACCCACAAGGAUUCGGUAGAGAAGUCCAGUCCUCCUAAAUAUCCUGCUCUGUUGGGUUUCAUGACAUACACAACUACACCAUCCCCAGAGUGUCCCUCCCUGUCCUUUCUAUAGGGUUUGCAUUCAGGAAUAGCAGUAUUCCACUGGUUCUCUCAAUUCCACCAGUUUUCUGUUAUGGCCACUAUAUCUAUGUUCUCAUCUGCAAUGAAGCACUCCAUGCCCCACAUAAUGGUUCAGAGGCUUCUAGUAUUUGCAUAUAAACACCUCUGUAUUAUGUCCUUUUCCAAAUGCUGUGUGUGAGUGCGUCUUCUCCCCUUAGACUUUUGGUCUCUUUGACCAGCUGUCACAUCCUCAUAUCUCAUUUCAAAAGUGUACCUUCUCAGUCACUAUACAAUUAACAUCUCUCUGUGAGUCAAACUAAAACAGAGGUGCAGCAAAACAUGACUCAGGCACUCCACUCAGUCAUGUGUAUGUAGAAAUGCAGUGAAAUGUAGUUACCUGUUCUAGAAUACGAAUUUGGCCAACUAGUAACGACUGAGUGUAUUAUGAACAUCGUCUUCAUAAGUUCUUCUCUGGCUCAGAAUGUAUCUGGAAUUCGCUACAUGCACAGUCAUUGUUUAGGUGCCCAAAACUAGUCACUUUGUAGCUGCAUGUACCAAAGGUCAUUAAUGAUAAACCCUCACUUUCAGUGAAACUCUCAUUGGUUGCUUGAAACUACCUACAAAGCUAGCUGAUAUGUAAACUAUUUGGGCAAAUAAUGUUUAACUGCUUACACUUUAGGAAACUCACAUUGAUUGCUGCAAACUAUGUGACCUGACCACCCAAUCAAGCAGCCUUUUGUUUGGAUAAUAUCUUCUCUGUUUAGAUUAAUCCAUUAUUUGAAUGGAUUAAUGGUUUUUUGGGGCAUUGUUGUUCCCUACCCAGAUAUAAAAUGUAACUUUGUUCCUGGGUGUAUUUGUUGUAGAGACAGUUUUUUUAUUUCCAGACACCUCUCCAACAUGGCCAGUGCUAUGAGUUCUGUUCAGGGCAGGUGCAAGAAAAUUACAAUCCCUGGGGGCAGUACAAGAUUGCACAUACAUGCAGCAUUAUUAACACACAUGCACCAACAUUGCAAGCUGAGAAAGAACUCUUGCAAAACAGACAAAUGUAUUCCAAACAUUCACAAGCCCCUUCAGACAUUAUAAGCACCAUGGGUACUCAUGCUUACAACUGCAAAGUGGGGAGGAAGUCCUGCCCCACUGCUGUCACUCAUCUCCUCCUGCUGGGUGUACAAGCUUG